UCACCAAAUAUUUAUUUGCCUGGGGUGU
Molecule: non-coding RNA, 28 nt
Filed under: Homo sapiens (human)
Lineage: Eukaryota; Metazoa; Chordata; Mammalia; Primates; Hominidae
Source: RNAcentral